CCCUUAGAUGUCCGGGGCCGCACGCGCGCUACACUGAAGGAAUCAGCGUGGCUUUCUCCCUGACCCGAAAGGGUUGGGAAACCCGUUGAAUCUCCUUCGUGAUAGGGAUUGGGGCUUGAAAUUGUUCCCCAUGAACGAGGAAUUCCCAGUAAGCGCGAGUCAUAAGCUCGCGUUGAUUACGUCCCUGCCCUUUGUACACACCGCCCGUCGCACCUACCGAUUGAAUGGUCCGGUGAAGCCUCGGGAUUGUGGCUGGUUUCCUUUAUUGGAGGUCGGUUGCGAGAACUUGUCUAAACCUUAUCAUUUAGAGGAAGGUGAAGUCGUAACA
RNAcentral lists this ribosomal RNA (328 nucleotides) under uncultured eukaryote. RNAcentral's name for it is "partial 18S ribosomal RNA". It matches the Rfam family "Eukaryotic small subunit ribosomal RNA", at positions 1470 to 1796 of the family's 1831-position model. The record is from RNAcentral.